Molecule: ribosomal RNA, 300 nt
Filed under: uncultured Saccharibacillus sp.
Lineage: Bacteria; Bacillati; Bacillota; Bacilli; Caryophanales; Paenibacillaceae
Description: bacterial SSU rRNA
Rfam family: Bacterial small subunit ribosomal RNA
Source: RNAcentral
GGUCAUUACGUGCCAGGCACUGGUGUAAUUCGGCGGGGCCGGAGGGUGUCUGGAAUGAUUGGGGUGAAAGUGGGUGCAGGCCUGAAGCAAAGCAGGCCGGGAAAUGUGGAUGCUAGACGUCUGAAGUUCGGCGCGAACUGGUUUUCUCGAGUGCAUACGAGGUAGGUGGAAUUUGUGGUGUAGCGGUGAAAUGAUUAGAUAUCACGAAGAACUCCGAUUGCGAAGGCAGCCUACCAGGAUGUAACUGACGCUAAAGCUCGAAAGUGCGGGUAUCGAACAGGAUUAGAUACCCGAGUAGUC